GCACAUAGUACAUCCGGUGUUAGAAGAGCUCGUAGGCUCCGGAGAGGCGGGUUAAGAAGAAGGGAAGCUUUGUCACACAGACUCUGGAACCAUGAACAUAUUUGAUCAACUUUGAUGCACUCUUAAAAUUUUCCCAUAUAACCCCCUCCACACAGCAGCACCUAAAGAAGGUCUAUGCAAGUUUUGCCCUGUGUAUGUUUGUGGCGGCUGCGGGAGCCCAUGUCCAUGUGGUCACCCAUUUCAUUCAGGCUGGCCUGCUCUCUGCCUUGGGCUCCUUGGGGUUGAUGAUUUGGCUGAUGGCAACACCUCAUAGCCAUGAAACUGAGCAGAAAAGACCGGGACUUCUUGCCGGAUUUGCUUUCCUUACAGGAGUUGGCCUGGGCCCUGCCCUGGAGUUGUGCAUUGCCAUCAAUCCCAGCAUCCUUCCUACUGCCUUCAUGGGCACAGCAAUGAUCUUCACUGCUUCACCCUGAGUGCGCUCUAUGCCAGGCAUCGCAGCUACCUCUUUCUGGGAGGUAUUUUGAUGUCAGCCAUGAGCCUGAUGUUCUUGUCUUCCCUGGGAAACCUUUUCUUUGGAUCGAUUUGGCUUUUCCAGGCAAACCUGUAUGUGGGACUGGUGGUCAUGUGUGGCUUUGUCCUUUUUGACACUCAACUCAUUAUUGAAAAGGCUGAAAAUGGAGAUAAGGAUUAUAUCUGGCACUGCGUUGAUCUCUUUUUAGAUUUUGUUACUCUCUUCAGAAAACUCAUGGUGAUCCUGGCUAUGAAUGAGAAGGAUAAGAAGAAAGAGAAGAAAUGACCACCCACCCUUUUCCAAUUUGACAUCCUCUCCCUUCACCCCUCAUUUCUUCUUUGCACACAUUACAGGUGGCGUGUUCUGUGAUAAUGAAAAGCAUCAGAAAAGAAAAAAAGAAAAGUCACAA
RNA transcript from Nycticebus coucang (slow loris), 920 nucleotides. It is a transcript of the gene named bax inhibitor 1-like, with no coding region annotated. The record is from RefSeq and is a predicted model, not a curated record. Lineage: Eukaryota; Metazoa; Chordata; Mammalia; Primates; Lorisidae. The transcript has a single exon.